CCUACGGGUGACAGCAGUGAGGAAUAUUGGUCAAUGGGCGAGAGCCUGAACCAGCCAAGUCGCGUGAGGGAGUACUGCCCUAUGGGUUGUAAACCUCUUUUGUCGGGGAGCAAAAGCCGGACGUGUCCGGCUGUGAGAGUACCCGAAGAAAAAGCAUCGGCUAACUCCGUGCCAGCAGCCGCGGUAAUACGGAGGAUGCGAGCGUUAUCCGGAUUUAUUGGGUUAAAAGGGUGCGCAGGCGGAUUUUUAAGUCAGCGGUCAAAUCGUGGGGCUCAACCCCAUCCAGCCGUUGAAACUGGGGAUCUAGAGUGUGCGAGAGGUAUGCGGAAUGCGUGGUGUAGCGGUGAAAUGCAUAGAUAUCACGCAGAACUCCGAUUGCGAAGGCAGCUUACUAAGCCAUAACUGACACUGAAGCACGAAAGCGUGGGGAUCAAACAGGAUUAGAUACCCCUGUAGUC
This 458-nucleotide ribosomal RNA is filed under the name uncultured bacterium. RNAcentral's name for it is "partial 16S ribosomal RNA". It matches the Rfam family "Bacterial small subunit ribosomal RNA", at positions 338 to 795 of the family's 1533-position model. The record is from RNAcentral.